CCUACGGGUGGCAGCAGUGAGGAAUAUUGGUCAAUGGGCGCGAGCCUGAACCAGCCAAGUCGCGUGAGGGAGGACGGCCCUACGGGUUGUAAACCUCUUUUGCCGGGGAGCAACGGGCGUCACGUGUGGCGCCCCUGAGAGUACCCGGAGAAAAAGCAUCGGCUAACUCCGUGCCAGCAGCCGCGGUAAUACGGAGGAUCCGAGCGUUCUCCGGAUUUAUUGGGUUUAAAGGGAGCGUAGAUGGGUUGUUAAGUCAGUUGUGAAAGUUUGCGGCUCAACCGUAAAAUUGCAAUUGAUACUGGCAGCCUUGAGUACAGUUGAGGUAGGCGGAAUUCGUGGUGUAGCGGUGAAAUGCUUAGAUAUCACGAAGAACUCCGAUUGCGAAGGCAGCUUACUAAACUGCCACUGACAUUGAUGCUCGAAAGUGUGGGUAUCAAACAGGAUUAGAUACCCUUGUAGUC
RNAcentral lists this ribosomal RNA (461 nucleotides) under uncultured bacterium. RNAcentral describes it as "partial 16S ribosomal RNA". It matches the Rfam family "Bacterial small subunit ribosomal RNA", at positions 338 to 795 of the family's 1533-position model. The record is from RNAcentral.